RNAcentral lists this ribosomal RNA (407 nucleotides) under uncultured bacterium. Its description in RNAcentral is "partial 16S ribosomal RNA". It matches the Rfam family "Bacterial small subunit ribosomal RNA", at positions 30 to 526 of the family's 1533-position model. The record is from RNAcentral.
AUUGAACGCUAGCGGGAUGCCUUACACAUGCAAUUCGAACGGAGUGGCGAACGGUUGAGUAAUGUAUCGGAACGUGCCCAUUAGCGGGGGAUAACUACGCGAAAUCGUAGCUAAUACCUCCUACUAUUGGAGCGUCCUAUAUCGGAUUAGCUAUUUGGUGGGGUAACGGCUCACCACGGCGACGAUCCGUAGCUGGUUUGAGAGGACGACACGACACACUGGGACUGAGACACGGCCCAGAUGCAUACGGGAGGAAGCAGUGGGGAAUUGUGGACAAUGGGGGAAACCCUGAUCAAGCCAUCCCGCGUGUGCGAUGAAGGCAUUAGGGUUGUAAAGCACUUGUGGCAGGAAAGCGGUACCUGCAGAAUAAGCACCGGCUAACUACGUGCCAGCAGCCGCGGUAAUAC